CAGCAGCCGCGGUAAUACGUAGGUGGCAAGCGUUGUCCGGAAUUACUGGGUGUAAAGGGAGCGUAGACGGUUAAACAAGUCUGAAGUGAAAUGCCGGGGCUCAACCCCGGAGCUGCUUUGGGAACUGUAGAACUGGAGUGUCGGAGGGGUAAGCGGAAUUCCCAGUGUAGCGGUGAAAUGCGUAGAUAUUGGGAGGAACACCGGCGGCGAAGGCGGCUUACUGGACGACAACUGACGUUGAGGCUCGAAGGCGUGGGUAGCAAACAGGAUUAGAUACCCCUGUAGUCCCUGUCUCUUAUAC
This 301-nucleotide ribosomal RNA is filed under the name uncultured bacterium. RNAcentral's name for it is "partial 16S ribosomal RNA". It matches the Rfam family "Bacterial small subunit ribosomal RNA", at positions 509 to 807 of the family's 1533-position model. The record is from RNAcentral.